This 492-nucleotide ribosomal RNA is filed under the name uncultured bacterium. Its description in RNAcentral is "partial 16S ribosomal RNA". It matches the Rfam family "Bacterial small subunit ribosomal RNA", at positions 29 to 507 of the family's 1533-position model. The record is from RNAcentral.
AGUGAACGCUGGCGGUAGGCCUAACACAUGCAAGUCGAACGGCAGCACAGUAAGAGCUUGCUCUUACGGGUGGCGAGUGGCGGACGGGUGAGGAAUACAUCGGAAUCUACUUUUUCGGGGGGGAUAACGUAGGGAAACUUACGCUAAUACCGCAUACGACCUACGGGGGAAAGCAGGGGAUCUUCGGACCUUGCGCGAUUGAAUGAGCCGAUGUCGGUUUAGCUAGUUGGCGGGGUAAAGGCCCACCAAGUCGACGAUCCGUAGCUGGUCUGAGAGGAUGGUCAGCCACACUGGAACUGAGACACGGUCCAGACUCCUACGGGAGGCCGCAGUGGGGAAUAUUGGACAAUGGGCGCAAGCCUGAUCCAGCCAUACCGCGUGGGUGAAGAAGGCCUUCGGGUUGUAAAGCCCUUUUGUUGGGAAAGAAAAGCAGCAGGUUAAUACCCCGCUGUUCUGACGGUACCCAAAGAAUAAGCACCGGCUAACUUCGUG